This 192-nucleotide ribosomal RNA is filed under the name uncultured bacterium. RNAcentral's name for it is "partial 16S ribosomal RNA". It matches the Rfam family "Bacterial small subunit ribosomal RNA", at positions 1309 to 1500 of the family's 1533-position model. The record is from RNAcentral.
AACCCGCCUGCAUGAAGUUGGAAUUGCUAGUAAUCGCGGAUCAGCAUGCCGCGGUGAAUACGUUCCCGGGGAUUGUACACACCGCCCGUCACACCAUGAGAGUCGGGAACACCCAAAGUCCGUAGUCUAACCGCAAGGAGGGCGCGGCCUAAGGUGGGUUCGAUAAUUGGGGUGAAGUCGUAACAAGGUACC